RNAcentral lists this ribosomal RNA (390 nucleotides) under uncultured bacterium. RNAcentral describes it as "bacterial SSU rRNA". It matches the Rfam family "Bacterial small subunit ribosomal RNA", at positions 28 to 418 of the family's 1533-position model. The record is from RNAcentral.
GACGAACGCUGGCGGCGUGCUUAACACAUGCAAGUCGAACGGAAAGGCCCCCUUGUGGGGUACGUCGAGUGGCGAACGGGUGGAGUAACACGUGAGUAACCUACCCUUGACUUUGGGAUAACUUCAGGAAACUGGGCUAAUACCGGAUAGGAGCUCCUGCUGCAUGGUGGGGGUUGGAAAGUUUCGGCGGUUGGGGAUGGACUCGCGGCUUAUCAGCUUGUUGGUGGGGUAGUGGCUCACCAAGGCUUUGACGGGUAGCCGGCCUGAGAGGGUGACCGGCCACAUUGGGACUGAGAUACGGCCCAGACUCCUACGGGAGGCAGCAGUGGGGAAUAUUGCACAAUGGGCGGAAGCCUGAUGCAGCAACGCCGCGUGCGGGAUGACGGCCUU